RNAcentral lists this long non-coding RNA (232 nucleotides) under Pelobates cultripes (western spadefoot toad). Lineage: Eukaryota; Metazoa; Chordata; Amphibia; Anura; Pelobatidae. The record is from RNAcentral.
GAACAACUACAGCUUAUUGAAUUUGUUCUGGUGAGUAGAAUCAUUACCUUCAGGCUUUUUGCUGUAAACACUGUCUUUUCAGAGAAAAUGCAGUGUUUACAUUACAGCCUAGUGAUAACUUCACUGGCCACUCCUCAGAUGGCUGUUAGAGAUCCUUCCUGGGUCAUGACUGCCUAAAAUGCAUCCAAACAUUCAGUAUCUCCUCCCUCUGCAUGCAGACACUGAACUUUCC